GAUGAACGCUGGCGGCGUGCCUAAUACAUGCAAGUCGAGCGAACGGACGAGAAGCUUGCUUCUCUUAUGUUAGCGGCGGACGGGUGAGUAACACGUGGAUAACCUACCUAUAAGACUGGGAUAACUUCGGGAAACCGGAGCUAAUACCGGAUAAUAUUUUGAACCGCAUGGUUCAAAAGUAAAAGACGGUCUUGCUGUCACUUAUAGAUUGAUCCGCGCUGCAUUAGCUAGUUGGUAAGGUAACGGCUUACCAAGGCAACGAUGCAUAGCCGACCUGAGAGGGUGAUCGGCCACACUGGAACUGAGACACGGUCCAGACUCCUACGGGAGGCAGCAGUAGGGAAUCUUCCGCAAUGGGCGAAAGCCUGACGGAGCAACGCCGCGUGAGUGAUGAAGGUCUUCGGAUCGUAAAACUCUGUUAUUAGGGAAGAACAUAUGUGUAAGUAACUGUGCACAUCUUGACGGUACCUAAUCAGAAAGCCACGGCUAACUACGUG
This 497-nucleotide ribosomal RNA is filed under the name uncultured bacterium. RNAcentral's name for it is "partial 16S ribosomal RNA". It matches the Rfam family "Bacterial small subunit ribosomal RNA", at positions 28 to 507 of the family's 1533-position model. The record is from RNAcentral.